AAAAAUCGGGGGACGCUACGGACUUAAAAUCCGUCGACUAAGUGGG
Molecule: transfer RNA, 46 nt
Filed under: Hoffmannseggia doellii
Lineage: Eukaryota; Viridiplantae; Streptophyta; Magnoliopsida; Fabales; Fabaceae
Description: partial tRNA-Leu
Source: RNAcentral